CAAAUAUCAAGAUCAUGUAACUCUACAAUUAGAGCUAGCUUCUCACAUACAGAGCUUAGUAGAAUUGGCUCCCUUCUAUACAACAAUUGAUAAAGACUACAAGAUUUCAAAGAUGCUUAUUGUGAUUGUCGUUUUACUUAUUCCAAAAGAAACCUCUCAAAAUAAAUUUGUAUAGGAGAAUUCGAACACAAGGAAAGACUAAGCGCAUGAAUUUUACUUGUUAGGGUCACACAAUUAACUAUAUUCUAAACCACUAAAAUACUAAGAAACACUACAAUGCUUCCUUCUAGUAACAAUACUCCUUCAUCAACUGAUAACCACAAUGUGCAACCAUGCACUCUCAAAAGACCGCUCAAAAUUUAAUAAAUUCCAUCCAACACCAAGAAUAACAGACUUCACUCCAACCUAUCUGAAUUCACAAAAUUCCUGUAAUCACAAACUUCUUCUAUCGAAACACAUACACACAACUUUCAAUAAACAACAAUCAUAAUCUUCCAUCCAUAUUCAAUCUCCUAAUAACUUCUCAUAUAAUUCAAUCACUCAGUACUCCAAUUACAUAAUCAAUAACUCAUAAAUCAAUCUCUGAUUUAUUCCACAGAUUCACUUCUCAAUAUUUAGAAACUAACCAUUAUUCUUCAACAACAAAUAAAACAAAAGAAACAAAGAGGAAGCACCAAGCUUAACCCCAGCUCAUGACUAUCACAGUCUGGCAUUUUCUUCCUCCCUUCCAUCUUCUUUAUACUACCCCAAGAUGCCAACUCCUAUACUAUGGAUGAUAACUACUUUUUUUGACUAUUCAUCCAUUGUACCUGCUGAACCACCUUUUCAGCAGUCAUCUAUCCCUGUUUACACUAUACACUAGGUAUCUACAUUUUGAAAAUAACUACUUAUUCUACAUAGUCCCACUCCUAACUGUGCACCAUCCUCGCAAAUAUCUAAUCUGAAGCUGAACUAGUUACUCCUCAGCAUUAUCCGUACUUGAAUCCACUGAUUCCAAUUCUAAAGGCACAUCAUCGUCCUCUUGGUCCAAUAUAUUUAUUGAUACUAUGAUCAAUCUGGCAGUUAAAUCUUUGUUACGUGCACCCAAUUCUCGCGCUUGGCUUUCCAAUUGCAGAAUUCAGAUAUCUUUUGCCUGUAAUUGGUGUUGCUGUUGCUUCACAUUCUUUUCC
This 1169-nucleotide long non-coding RNA is filed under the name Physcomitrium patens. RNAcentral describes it as "long non-coding RNA (PPAT_LNC006905)". Lineage: Eukaryota; Viridiplantae; Streptophyta; Bryopsida; Funariales; Funariaceae. The record is from RNAcentral.